This 789-nucleotide ribosomal RNA is filed under the name uncultured bacterium. RNAcentral's name for it is "bacterial SSU rRNA". It matches the Rfam family "Bacterial small subunit ribosomal RNA", at positions 8 to 796 of the family's 1533-position model. The record is from RNAcentral.
AGAGUUUGAUCCUGGCUCAGAAUGAACGCUGGCGGCGUGCCUAACACAUGCAAGUCGGAUGUGCCGCAAGGUGCAUGGCAGACGGGUGAGUAACGCGUGGGCAAUCUACCUUUUAGUGGGGAAUAACGAUCCGAAAGGAUUGGUAAUACCGCAUGUGAUCAUCGACUGGGAUGUUGGUGAUGAAAGCCGGGGACCGCAAGGCCUGGCGCUAGGAGAGGAGCCCGCGUCUGAUUAGUUAGUUGGUGGGGUAACGGCCUACCAAGACAUCGAUCAGUAGCCGGUCUGAGAGGAUGAUCAGCCACACUGGAACUGAGACACGGUCCAGACUCCUACGGGAGGCAGCAGUGAGGAAUAUUGGGCAAUGGACGCAAGUCUGACCCAGCAACGCCGCGUGAAGGAUGAAUGUCGUAAGAUUGUAAACUUCUGUGAGAAGGGACGAAAAAACAGGCUCAUACCCUGUUCUGACGGUACCUUCAGAGGAAGCCCCGGCUAACUACGUGCCAGCAGCCGCGGUAAUACGUAGGGGGCUAGCGUUGUCCGGAUUUACUGGGUGUAAAGGGCGCGUAGGUGGACUUGUCAGUCAGAGGUGAAACCCUGCAGCUUAACUGCAGAACUGCCUUUGAUACUGCAAGCCUUGAGUCUAGAAGAGAAAAGCGGAAUUCCAGGUGUAGUGGUGAAAUACGUAGAUAUCUGGAAGAACACCAGUUGCGAAGGCGGCUUUUUGGUCUAGAACUGACACUGAGGCGCGAAAGCGUGGGUAGCAAACAGGAUUAGAUACCCUGGUAGUCC